Molecule: non-coding RNA, 26 nt
Filed under: Homo sapiens (human)
Lineage: Eukaryota; Metazoa; Chordata; Mammalia; Primates; Hominidae
Source: RNAcentral
UGGAGAAAGCUAAGGCUACCACCACC